Long non-coding RNA from Spinacia oleracea (spinach), 3062 nucleotides. RefSeq lists it as uncharacterized. The transcript has 3 exons. Lineage: Eukaryota; Viridiplantae; Streptophyta; Magnoliopsida; Caryophyllales; Amaranthaceae. The record is from RefSeq and is a predicted model, not a curated record.
AAAAACAUAAAUUAAGAAAAGAACCGCCUAAAUUUCUUCCCACGCCUAAGCUUAACAAAAACUAAAAAGAACCGCCGCGACCAGCUUUCUCUUCCAGACCUAAAAGCCUCAAAACCUAAGAACUUUCGAUUGAAGGCGAAACCAGACUUCAAAAAUCCUUCAAACGACAGUGAAAUCUUUCAAGCGAUUGAUGGCGAAACCAACCUUCAAAAAUCCUUCACACGGCACCGAUAUCUUUCAAGCAAUGGCGAUUUCCUUCAGGUGGUGGCGUUUCGUUCAACCAGCAUGCUUCUUCUCAUGGAAAAAUCGAAUUUCAAGGUAAUCCAUCCAUAAAAUUUGUGGAGUUCUGUUUAUUUAUGUUUGGUUGUUCCUAAUUUGCGUUUUAAGUGUAUUAUUAUUGGUAAUUAAUUUACUAGAAUUAGGAUUUGUUUAAUUAUGGGUUUUAGGGUUUUGUUCCUCUGAAUUGGGAUACGUAGUGUAUUUAAUUUUAAUUGGGUAUGAUUCUUUAUGUUGAUAAUAACUUGUUGAAUUAUUUGAUUUCAUGAUUGCACUGGAGUAUUACGUUUUUUUUUUUAAUUAUCUUUUCCUGAUAUUAACUCACAAUUGCCUAUAUUAAUGGAAGAAAAAAUCACGUUUAGAUUGAAGUUAAUUUCGGUUUGCUGAUGGAGUAGUAAGUUUUUUUGUUUUUGUUUUCUGGAAUUACGGGAAACUACAGUAGCUCAACUUGAGAGUCCCGUUAAGGACAGGUUUUUGUGUUCAUAAUCCCCUGUUGGUGUAAGACAGGUGUAGCCGUUAGUUUCGGUUCAAUUUUACGAAAACAUUAUACCAUGGUAAACUUGAAAGGGAAGUAUAUAUGUUAGCCUAAAAUAUAAUCUGAAUGGUUAGCCUAAAAUUUGAUCGAAGUAAACUUUGCUGCUUUGAAAUUGAAGUAUAAAUGGUUAGCCUAAAAUUUAAUCGAUGUAAACUUUGCUGCUUUGAACUGAUCUACUCUAAUGCCACUAACUACUAAUAUGCUGCUUUCCGCUAUGUGUAAUGAUCUGAUGUGGUUGUGUUGUUAUGCUAACUUGUGCUAAUCUGUUAUGAUGUGAUUGUGUUGUUCUGCUUGUUUAUGCUAAUUUGUUCUUCUGCCAUUGGAAACUACAAAAUUGAAAUAUUAAAAGUUUGUAACUUGUAUCAAUUUGUUUUAAUCAAUUCGAUAUAAUUCUGAUUUAUAUUACUGAAUUACAUUGAGCAUUUAACAAAGCUUUUAUAAUACCUGAAUUGCAUCAGGUGUGUUGGGAGCUUGGCUUGCUUUUGCUGGGCUAAGUGUAGGUUGUAGCUUUGCAUCUGUUUGCUGGUUUCAGGCUGAGUUCUAUUCUGGUUGUAUCUGGAUAGGGUGCUAUGUUCUGUUUCUAGUGUUUGCAGGGGGCUGUUUUCUUUUAUUCUUACAGUAUGGUUGAAGGUCUUAUCUGUUGGGGUCUACUCCUUUCUGUAUGUUGCAGCUGCUUUUCUGUGUUGGCUGGCAGUUCUAGUGUUUCUGCUGCUCUGUUAUGUCCUGCUGUGCUGUUGUUUUAACUGUGUGGAGAGUACUUGCUAGCUGCAGAUCUGCUUUGUGCAGGUGCUUGUUCGUGUUGAGCCACUUACUGCAGUUUGGGUGUUGUUGUGUUUGUUCAGGUGUGGGCUGUGUUCAUCGUUUAUUUCUUUGAAAUGGUAAAUGAUGUCAUGAAGCAUUUAUUUAUUGCCAAAUUCAAUGAUGUAAAGCCCAUUAUGUACUCCUAAUUUCUUUAAGAGCCGUGAAUAGGUAACACUGCAUGAUUUAAUAAUCUUCCUUAACCUUGAUUAUCUAGCUAUGUAGGAUUGGUAGUACAUUGCAUUUAUAUAAGAAGCAGAUUGUGCAUUAAUUUCCCUUGCUUCAGCUUGUGCCAUCGACUCGUAUGCCUCUUUUUAUGAGGUCUUGUUGAGGGUUUGGAUACGUAUCCCUUCAUUGGUUCUGUUGUUCUCAAUUCGUCAUGUUGUAUUAUUAACCAGAGAAGUAAGGGUCCAACUCAAGGAGCUUGGGUCACAAGAAGUGCACUUGUAUGGUGUCUCAGCAAACUCAGAUCAUGUAAAGCACCAGUAAUAAGCCUGGAAGAGGCAUGCAUGUGAAUUCGUAGUAUCCUCGUCAUUAAAAUGCACGAUUCCUCUUAUUCUCUUGAUUUUCUUUUAAGGGCAACUUUUUUGUGGUGGGUUGAUGUUGCUCGACAUUGUGCUUGUCAUUUUUCAGUUAUCUGUACUGGUUUCUAUAAUGAUCUUCAACCACAGACUUAUUCUUCUUUUUAUUUUGUGUGUGUUCAUAAUCUUAUCUAAGAUUCAUCUUCUUCUACAUAGGUUUCUGAAAGUUCUGGCAGUGUCUAAUUAGUUUUAAUGAAGAGAUCAAUCUCCAAGCUAGUUUAGCUUUUAGCCUGACAUUAUCUCUAAACUAAAUUGUCGGUUGUGUCUAUGCUUAUGUCCAGGCCUUUUUUUAAUCUAUGAAGCCUUCUGCAAAUGAGAAAUUGAUGUGGAAAAUGGUAUCUUGGGAAGAGAAAUAGAUAAUGUUUUGCGGACUAGAAGAACUAUUAAUAUUUCGGCCUUACUGUCCAUGGCGGCUUACUACAUUUCAUCCUGCAGCAUGAUACUCAUUAACAAAUUUGUCUAGUCAAUUUGUGACUUCAAUGCUGAUACAUUUAAUGUUGUACCAGAUCAUUUCAGCUAUUUCUGGAGGAGUACUGAUCUAACCUUCCAUGCCUUUGGCUAUACUUGGAAAUUUAUGAACUGUUUUCUAACUACUACAUAUUCUUGGUUUACAGAUGGUCAGUUUCCAAGUUAUGACAAUGAGCAGAUUGACGAAGUAAGAACUCAAUGGGCGCGCUAUGUUGUUUAACAACUUUAUAUUAGCUAGGUUAUGUUGAGGAUUAACAAAUAUACAACCUGUUAAUUAAUUUAUUUUGCGUAGUUUAGUGAUUAGGGUCUUAUUUUAGAACAUAUCUAUGUAAAUGGUUUUUAUUAUGGUGACGAUUGUAAUUCUUUCUUUCAAGCUCAAUUGGAAAUUGAUAUUCAACUUUUUA